Molecule: ribosomal RNA, 372 nt
Filed under: uncultured cyanobacterium
Lineage: Bacteria; Bacillati; Cyanobacteriota
Description: bacterial SSU rRNA
Rfam family: Bacterial small subunit ribosomal RNA
Source: RNAcentral
ACGAAGGUUUUUGGAUCGUAAACCCCUUUUGUCAAGGAAGAAGCUCUGACGGUACUUGACGAAUAAGCCUCGGCUAACUCCGUGCCAGCAGCCGCGGUAAUACGGAGGAGGCAAGCGUUAUCCGGAAUGAUUGGGCGUAAAGCGUCUGUAGGUGGCCAGCUAAGUCUGCUGUUAAAGAUCACAGCUCAACUGUGGGAAGGCAGUGGAAACUGGCAAGCUAGAGGUUGGUAGGGGUAAAGGGAAUUCCCGGUGUAGCGGUGAAAUGCGUAGAUAUCGGGAAGAACACCGGUGGCGAAAGCGCUUUACUGGGCCAGACCUGACACUGAAGGACGAAAGCUAGGGGAGCGAAAGGGAUUAGAUACCCCUGUAGUC